RNAcentral lists this ribosomal RNA (633 nucleotides) under uncultured Basidiomycota. RNAcentral's name for it is "LSU rRNA". It matches the Rfam family "Eukaryotic large subunit ribosomal RNA", at positions 1 to 623 of the family's 3401-position model. Lineage: Eukaryota; Fungi; Basidiomycota. The record is from RNAcentral.
CCUCAAAUCAGGUAGGACUACCCGCUGAACUUAAGCAUAUCAAUAAGCGGAGGAAAAGAAACUAACAAGGAUUCCCCUAGUAACGGCGAGUGAAGCGGGAAGAGCUCAAAUUUGAAAUCUGGUGGCCUCAGGCUAUCCGAGUUGUAAUCUAUAGAAACAUUUUCCGCGUUGGCCCAUGUACAAGUCUCUUGGAAUAGAGCGUCAUAGAGGGUGAGAAUCCCGUCCUUGACAUGGACUACCAGUGCUUUGUGAUAUGUUUUCAACGAGUCGAGUUGUUUGGGAAUGCAGCUCAAAAUGGGUGGUAAAUUCCAUCUAAAGCUAAAUAUUGGCGAGAGACCGAUAGCGAACAAGUACCGUGAGGGAAAGAUGAAAAGCACUUUGGAAAGAGAGUUAAACAGUAUGUGAAAUUGUUGAAAGGGAAACGAUUGAAGUCAGUCGUGUCUAUUGGACUCAGCCGGUUCUGCCGGUGUACUUCCUUUAGAUGGGGUCAACAUCAGUUUUGAUCGCUGGAAAAGGGCAGGAGGAAUGUAGCACUCUCGGGUGAACUUAUAGCCUUCUGUCGCAUACAGUGGUUGGGACUGAGGAACGCAGCUUGCCUUUAUGGCCGGGAUUUAUCCACGUACAAGCUUAGGA